RNAcentral lists this small RNA (188 nucleotides) under Arabidopsis thaliana (thale cress). RNAcentral's name for it is "ATSL033130". Lineage: Eukaryota; Viridiplantae; Streptophyta; Magnoliopsida; Brassicales; Brassicaceae. The record is from RNAcentral.
UUUUAUUUUUAAAUGUUCUGGUAUAAGUUUGUAUGUUAAUUUAAAACAAAACUAGAUCAUAACCCGUGCUAUACAGCACGGACAUUAAUAUUUUGUAUAAAUUAAAUUAUAUACUUUGUUUGAAUUACAUAAGAAACUAGAUAAGACCCGCCUAUUUAGGCGGGUGUAAGAUACAAAAAUAAAUUUUU